CGGGAUGUGGCGCAGUUGGCUAGCGUGCUUGACUGGGGGUCAAGAGGUCGCGAGUUCGAGUCUCGCCAUUCCGA
This 74-nucleotide transfer RNA is filed under the name Bacteroidales bacterium OttesenSCG-928-K03. RNAcentral describes it as "tRNA-Pro". It matches the Rfam family "tRNA". From Rfam's summary of the family: Transfer RNA (tRNA) molecules are approximately 80 nucleotides in length. Their secondary structure includes four short double-helical elements and three loops (D, anti-codon, and T loops). RNAcentral also lists the same sequence under 2 other names. The record is from RNAcentral. Lineage: Bacteria; Pseudomonadati; Bacteroidota; Bacteroidia; Bacteroidales.